UACGGAGGGGGCUAGCGUUAUUCGGAAUUACUGGGCGUAAAGGGCUCGUAGGCGGCCAACUAAGUCAGACGUGAAAUCCCUCGGCUUAACCGGGGAACUGCGUCUGAUACUGGAUGGCUUGAGUUUGGGAGAGGGAUGCGGAAUUCCAGGUGUAGCGGUGAAAUGCGUAGAUAUCUGGAGGAACACCGGUGGCGAAGGCGGCAUCCUGGACCAACACUGACGCUGAGGAGCGAAGGCCAGGGGAGCAAACGGG
This 253-nucleotide ribosomal RNA is filed under the name uncultured bacterium. RNAcentral describes it as "partial 16S ribosomal RNA". It matches the Rfam family "Bacterial small subunit ribosomal RNA", at positions 524 to 776 of the family's 1533-position model. The record is from RNAcentral.